CCUACGGGUGGCAGCAGUGGGGAAUAUUGGACAAUGGGGGCAACCCUGAUCCAGCCAUGCCGCGUGUGUGAAGAAGGCCCUCGGGUUGUAAAGCACUUUCAGUGGGAAGAACGCCUGGUGGUUAAUACCCAUCAGGAAAGACAUCACUCACAGAAGAAGCACCGGCUAACUCCGUGCCAGCAGCCGCGGUAAUACGGAGGGUGCGAGCGUUAAUCGGAAUUACUGGGCGUAAAGCGCGCGUAGGUGGCUUGAUAAGCCGGUUGUGAAAGCCCCGGGCUCAACCUGGGAACGGCAUCCGGAACUGUCAAGCUAGAGUGCAGGAGAGGAAGGUAGAAUUCCCGGUGUAGCGGUGAAAUGCGUAGAGAUCGGGAGGAAUACCAGUGGCGAAGGCGGCCUUCUGGACUGACACUGACACUGAGGUGCGAAAGCGUGGGUAGCAAACAGGAUUAGAUACCCGAGUAGUC
RNAcentral lists this ribosomal RNA (464 nucleotides) under Vreelandella stevensii. RNAcentral's name for it is "partial 16S ribosomal RNA". It matches the Rfam family "Bacterial small subunit ribosomal RNA", at positions 338 to 795 of the family's 1533-position model. The record is from RNAcentral. Lineage: Bacteria; Pseudomonadati; Pseudomonadota; Gammaproteobacteria; Oceanospirillales; Halomonadaceae.